This 253-nucleotide ribosomal RNA is filed under the name uncultured bacterium. Its description in RNAcentral is "partial 16S ribosomal RNA". It matches the Rfam family "Bacterial small subunit ribosomal RNA", at positions 524 to 776 of the family's 1533-position model. The record is from RNAcentral.
UACGUAGGUGGCAAGCGUUGUCCGGAAUUAUUGGGCGUAAAGCGCGCGCAGGCGGUCUUUUAAGUCUGAUGUGAAAGCCCACGGCUCAACCGUGGAGGGUCAUUGGAAACUGGGAGACUUGAGUGCAGAAGAGAAGAGUGGAAUUCCACGUGUAGCGGUGAAAUGCGUAGAGAUGUGGAGGAACACCAGUGGCGAAGGCGACUCUUUGGUCUGUAACUGACGCUGAGGCGCGAAGGCGUGGGGAGCAAACAGG